UCCGCCUGCCCUGGCCUCCCAAAGUGCUGGGAUUACAGAUGUGAGCCACCACGCCCAGCCAUGCUCGAUGAUUCUUGACGGGCCCUGGAUCCAGCUGACAGCCACCCGGGAGCCGCACCACGGGGAAUGCUGCGUAGGUUCUCAAGUGCACAUCUCACAGCUUCGCUGACAGGACAGCAAAGGACCAGAGAGAGGAAGUAACUCACCCAAGGCCCUUCAGGUGACUGGUGCACAGCCUGGGCAGAAGCCAAGUUUCCUGAUUCUGAGGCCAUUCAGGGUUGACCUCGCCCCCAAAUCAUCAGUUCUGGAAACUGAAAGUCCAAGAUCACAGCUCCAGCAGAACCAGUGUCUGGUGGGGACCCUUCCUGGUUCAUGGACAACUGUCUUCUUGCUGUGUCCUCACGAUUAAAAGAGUGAGAAAUAUC
RNAcentral lists this long non-coding RNA (425 nucleotides) under Homo sapiens (human). Its description in RNAcentral is "HSALNT0345614". The record is from RNAcentral. Lineage: Eukaryota; Metazoa; Chordata; Mammalia; Primates; Hominidae.